GUGGUAAUGAAUACCUUUUGUUGUUUUGAUUUUCUCCAGUGCGUGUUCGAAGCAUGUUAAUUGUGGCCAGCGAAUCCUGAAAUAAAUGAGGCACCACACUGUUCUCAAGGAUGCUGAAGUUAUUUGUACAGAAGAAUCAGUUUCCGGAUAAGAUUCUUUUUCCUAUGGAUUGUUUUCAAACAAAGGAUUUAAAUCAUCUAAAAUAAUUGUUCUAUUGUCAAAGAAGGUUACAUGUGUUGUCACCUUGUAAGGAGAGGACGUAUAUGCUCUGUAUUUGGAGAUCUAAAUUUCAAGUUUAUCGUUGAUUUCUCUCUAUAAUUUCUGUUAAUACAGAGCAUGUGUAAUGAGAUCGGAGAGCUGGUGCAUGUAUUUAAUCAUGGAAGGAGACAUGCAUGUAUUAUUUGUGGAAAGAGUUAAUGAACAUUACCUGCAAGUAG
This is a long non-coding RNA of Hordeum vulgare subsp. vulgare (domesticated barley), 437 nucleotides long. RefSeq lists it as uncharacterized. The record is from RefSeq and is a predicted model, not a curated record. The transcript has 2 exons. NCBI's taxonomy places the organism in Eukaryota, Viridiplantae, Streptophyta, Magnoliopsida, Poales, Poaceae.